GACGAACGCUGGCGGCGUGCUUAACACAUGCAAGUCGAACGGAAAGGCCCUGCUCUUGCGGGUUGCACGAGUGGCGAACGGGUGAGUAACACGUGAGUAACAUGCACUUGACUUUGGGGUAACUCUAGGAAACUCGGGCUCAUACCGGAUAGGACCUCCUGCUGCAUGGUGGGGGAUGGUAAGUGUCGGCGGUUGGGGCUGGACUCGCGGGUUAUCAGCUUGAUGGUGGGGUAGUUGCUUACCAAGGCUGUGACGGGUAGCCGGCAUGGGAGGGUGGCCGGCCACCUGAGGACUGAGGUACGGCCCAGUCUCCUACGGUAGGCAGCGGGGGGGAAUAUUGCACAAUGGGCGGGAGCCUGAGACAGCAGCGCCGCGUGCGGAAUGACGGCCUUCGGGUUGUAAACCGCUUUCGCCUGAGACGAAGCGGGAGUGACGGUAAUGGGUAAAGAAGCACCGGCUAACUACGUG
This 468-nucleotide ribosomal RNA is filed under the name uncultured bacterium. RNAcentral describes it as "partial 16S ribosomal RNA". It matches the Rfam family "Bacterial small subunit ribosomal RNA", at positions 28 to 507 of the family's 1533-position model. The record is from RNAcentral.